AUUCAAAUAGCUUAAUAAAAGCUUAGUAUUGAAGUUACUGUGAUAGAAAGAUUCUUUUGAAUA
RNAcentral lists this transfer RNA (63 nucleotides) under Myrmedobia distinguenda. RNAcentral describes it as "tRNA-Phe". The record is from RNAcentral. Lineage: Eukaryota; Metazoa; Arthropoda; Insecta; Hemiptera; Microphysidae.